UUGAGCGAUUUACUUCGGUAAAGAGCGGCGGCGGGUGAGUAACGCGUGGGUAACCUACCCUGUACACACGGAUAACAUACCGAAAGGUAUGCUAAUACGGGAUAAUAUAUUUGGGAGGCAUCUCUUAAAUAUCAAAGGUGAGCCAGUACAGGAUGGACCCGCGUCUGAUUAGCUAGUUGGUAAGGUAACGGCUUACCAAGGCGACGAUCAGUAGCCGACCUGAGAGGGUGAUCGGCCACAU
This 241-nucleotide ribosomal RNA is filed under the name Clostridioides difficile. RNAcentral describes it as "partial 16S ribosomal RNA". It matches the Rfam family "Bacterial small subunit ribosomal RNA", at positions 62 to 313 of the family's 1533-position model. Lineage: Bacteria; Bacillati; Bacillota; Clostridia; Peptostreptococcales; Peptostreptococcaceae. The record is from RNAcentral.